This 300-nucleotide ribosomal RNA is filed under the name Vibrio sp. BTTV21. Its description in RNAcentral is "bacterial SSU rRNA". It matches the Rfam family "Bacterial small subunit ribosomal RNA", at positions 137 to 439 of the family's 1533-position model. The record is from RNAcentral. Lineage: Bacteria; Pseudomonadati; Pseudomonadota; Gammaproteobacteria; Vibrionales; Vibrionaceae.
CGGAGGAUAGCCAUUGUAAACGAUGGCUAAUACCGCAUGAUGCCUACGGGCCAAAGAGGGGGACCUUCGGGCCUCUCGCGUCAGGAUAUGCCUAGGUGGGAUUAGCUAGUUGGUGAGGUAAGGGCUCACCAAGGCGACGAUCCCUAGCUGGUCUGAGAGGAUGAUCAGCCACACUGGAACUGAGACACGGUCCAGACUCCUACGGGAGGCAGCAGUGGGGAAUAUUGCACAAUGGGCGCAAGCCUGAUGCAGCCAUGCCGCGUGUGUGAAAAAGGCCUUCGGGUUGUAAAGCACUUUCAG